RNAcentral lists this ribosomal RNA (497 nucleotides) under uncultured bacterium. Its description in RNAcentral is "partial 16S ribosomal RNA". It matches the Rfam family "Bacterial small subunit ribosomal RNA", at positions 28 to 507 of the family's 1533-position model. The record is from RNAcentral.
GAUGAACGCUGGCGGCGUGCCUAAUACAUGCAAGUCGAGCGAACGGACGAGAAGCUUGCUUCUCUGAUGUUAGCGGCGGAAGGGUGAGUAACACGUGGAUAACCUACCUAUAAGACUGGGAUAACUUCGGGAAACCGGAGCUAAUACCGGAUAAUAUUUUGAACCGCAUGGUUCAAAAGUGAAAGACGGUCUUGCUGUCACUUAUAGAUGGAUCCGCGCUGCAUUAGCUAGUUGGUAAGGUAACGGCUUACCAAGGCAACGAUGCAUAGCCGACCUGAGAGGGUGAUCGGCCACACUGGAACUGAGACUCGGUCCAGACUCCUACGGGAGGCAGCAGUAGGGAAUCUUCCGCAAUGGGCGAAAGCCUGACGGAGCAACGCCGCGUGAGUGAUGAAGGUCUUCGGAUCGUAAAACUCUGUUAUUAGGGAAGAACAUAUGUGUAAGUAACUGUGCACAUCUUGACGGUACCUAAUCAGAAAGCCACGGCUAACUACGUG